CUCUGUCUUUCCCCCACCCCCUCUAGGUUUCCUUUUCUAACCUUUUUGUCUCACCAGGAAAUAGAACCACUUUGUAAAAGAACUGAUUCAAGUGGUGGCGAUGUGGGGAAGAGGAGGGAGUAAGGCCCGCGGUGACAGCAUUAAAAGCUGGGAGCCCUGGGGAUCGCCCCCGCCUGGCCCUCCAGCAACAGGAGUUCUCCCGACUGUGGCCUUUUCCCGUGUCCGGGGUCCACAGCUCUUUGCCUGCUAACCCUGGAGGGUUCUAAGCCGAUGCGCCCAUGCUGGGGGUGGGACUUUCUCCGAGUAACAUGCUUGGGUUUCCAUGCUUUGAAACCUGGAGGUGACACUGAAGUAGGAGCCUGGGCACCUUGGCAGAGGGAGCUAAUCAGAGGACAGGGGAAUCUGACACCAUCCUCAGAAGGCUGCCCCUCCAACAUGUUACCAGAAGAGUAUUUUCCUAAGCAACCUGCCUGGCACUACAACUCAGGGUCACUUUCAUCCACGAUUAGAAUCCUAUGAUGAAAGUCAGAAUGCAUCUGCGAUUAAGGCACGGGCUCUGGAGACAUAUCUGGAUUUGCUUUAUCUGCAGGUUGCUCCUUGCCUGUCUGUUAGCUCGUUUGUAAAAUGCUACCUCCUAAUGCCAUUGUGAUGAUUAAAUGAUCCAGUGUGUCACUGUCAGCCCCAUGCCUAACACACAGUAAGUCUCAGGUGCGGUAGUGGAGAAGAGGAUGGGCUCUAGAGCCAAGAAUGGGUUUGGAUCCUGGCUCUGCCACUUACAAGUUGUAUAACCCUGGCGUCAGUUUUGCCCUUUGAUGUAAGUCAUCGUCUCUGGACAUGAGAACGGGAGGCCUCACUUCCACAUCCUCCUCCAAAUGAAUGCACUCUAAACAAACAUUGAUGCGCCUCUCAAGGUUGGCAUUGCAUCUGGACCAGUGCCAGGAAGCCACAAGGCCACCAGAGGCAGAGGGGAAGAGCAAGGGCGGAAGAAUAGAAGUCAAGCAGCAGCAGAUGGAAUGUGUGCACGGUCAGGUGGAGGCAAGCUGCUCCUGACUGGUGCAAGAACUGACUGUGUGUGUACUUUGCUUCUCAGUGCUGUGCACAGACACGUGCAGCAAGAACCAUCUCAGAGGGUCACAAGCCCCCUAGAUUUUACCCACAGAAGAUGGUAGAAAAAAGAACCUGUGAUGAAUGAAGAAAGCUGGGGAAAAUGAGGGAAGGCAGGAGGAACCUGCCAGAAACAGGCCAAGUCCCACCAACAUGGAAAUCAGAUCACAAAUGAUUUAGCUGUAAAACAGAAUCCAGUGCAUUGGAGGGAACCCUGGACAUAUGCUGAACAAUAAGGAGAGCCAGCUGCCCAAUAUCUGCAAGGAGAUUGUUCACAGCCAAUACCGAGGAGAGUACUAAACACUGAGAUAGAUUUUGCUGCUGCUAAGGCAAACUAUUAUAAUCUUGAACUACAAAAAGCGGGGGAGGGUGUGGUCAGACAAGUUCCAGCCCUUCCCCUUCCCCCACCAUGACUCUAGUUCACAAUUUUAAUUCCCAGGAGAAUCACAACUGAAGCAGACUACCCAGCUGAAAAGAGAGACGUGCACCCUCCAUUGUGUCCAAUAGCUGAGGACAUACGGGCAAGCUAACGAGAUGCAAAUCCCAUUCAAUGUGGCUAAUGCCCUUUUUAUCCCUAACCAAAGACCUAGAAAACUCAUUCAAUUUGGUGGUUUUCUAAUAUAGCUUCCACACCAUCGUUGAAUGUGCAACACUAAUUUAAAUAAAUUGCAUGUAGUCAGCAAAAGAGACAGUUCUGUCUUUGUGUAGUCUGAGAGGCUAUUUUGGCGAUUAAAGAGACCCGAUCUCAUCCUCUUAAUUAAGGCAAAGCUCAAGCCUAUCUACUAUUCACUCUCAAGCAGUGUUUCUAUGAUGGGUUAUUUUGGCGCUACCCAGGGCCACUGUUGAAUUGUCUGGUAGCUGAGGAGAGGACAUUUUAGGAAUAGAACCGUGCACUGAACAAGAGUCUUGGGGUUAAGUAGCAAAUGCCACUUCAUCCAGGUAAUGCUGAAAGAGCCUUUUACCAACACACCUUUCACUGCCAAAGGAAACAAAUUUUAGGUUGGGGCCAACUUGAUUCUCUCAGAAAGUGUUUGUAGCUGAACCACUGCAGAGGGUUCUACCACAGCCAGAGCUGAUUUCCUCACUGAGGAAAGACUUGAGGAGCUCAGAGAACAGGAGGGAGAAGGAUGCUCACUAAUGCCUAAAGGUACCACCAGGACUUGAAAAUUCCUUCAAGACUUGUUCUUUGCCUUUUAGGCUAUUGUACUUUCCAGAUCAUAAGCAGGGGGCUCAGAACAUAGUAUUUGCUCAAUAAAUCCUUGUUGGCUAGCAGACUGGGGCAUGGGCUUGAAAAUUAUCUUUCCUUUCUUCUACCUGAUUGGGCAGAACAUUCUAAAAGGAAACUUGUUCUAAUCUUUCACAUUUUUGGUCUUAGAUCUCUCUUUUCAGGAGUCUUAAUCUGAGAGGCUUUCCAAUUUGUUUGCUUCCUGGUCCUCAAAGUCAUCAUCCCCGAAGGUCAGCAAUGAGAGUACUAAAACGCUAGUCCUCAUCCUAAUGGGAGAUAAGUAGGUCAGCAACUCUGUGCCUCUCUUAAUAUUUUAGGUUGGACCAAUGACUGCAUUAAACUAAAAAAGGCGUCCCUCAAACAGCAGACAUUCUGAAACCUGAAAAACACUUACACUGAAGAGAUGUCAGUUUAAAAGGGUAUUCAUCUCUCAAAACUCCAACUGCCUGCAGCAUAUUUCUACAAAUUGCCCUUGUUCCAGAAGUCAGCAUGUCUUAGGUUAGUUCGUUUUACUGCAGUUAAGACAGAAGCAAAACCUGUAUCCACAGCUUCUAUUUGAGCACUUCUAAACAGUCUUAAAUUAAUAAAGAUGCUGACAUAUAUGGUAUUUAUUUUAGACUCAAGAACACAUUUUAGUCUCUUGGGCCAGCCCUUCUGCAUAGACAAAUUUCAUCUACAUAUACAGUAUAUUAUGAAAAAGGAAAAUAUUGAAAAUUCUAGGGAGAGAAUAUUUCUGUUCAAGGAUUAAGAUGAGAUUCAAAGGCAGGACAUAGGCCAGGCACAG
RNAcentral lists this long non-coding RNA (3113 nucleotides) under Homo sapiens (human). RNAcentral's name for it is "HSALNT0323004". The record is from RNAcentral. Lineage: Eukaryota; Metazoa; Chordata; Mammalia; Primates; Hominidae.